GGCUGGUCUGAAGGUAGUGAGUUAUCUCAAGUGAUUGUUCACCAUCAUUUACAGAUUGAAUUCCUCGUUCUACUCUUUUUCCCCUUCUCAUUACUGCACUUGUCUGGUCUAAA
Y RNA from Pongo abelii (Sumatran orangutan), 113 nucleotides. It matches the Rfam family "Y RNA". From Rfam's summary of the family: Y RNAs are components of the Ro ribonucleoprotein particle (Ro RNP), in association with Ro60 and La proteins. The Y RNAs and Ro60 and La proteins are well conserved, but the function of the Ro RNP is not known. NCBI's taxonomy places the organism in Eukaryota, Metazoa, Chordata, Mammalia, Primates, Hominidae. The record is from Ensembl.